UGGGGAAUAUUGCACAAUGGGCUAAAGCCUGAUGCAGCGACGCCGCGUGAGGGAUGACGGCCUUCGGGUUGUAAACCUCUUUCAGUAGGGACGAAGCGCAAGUGACGGUACCUGCAGAAGAAGCACCGGCUAACUACGUGCCAGCAGCCGCGGUAAUACGUAGGGUGCGAGCGUUGUCCGGAAUUACUGGGCGUAAAGAGCUCGUAGGCGGUUUGUCACGUCGUCUGUGAAAUCCUAGGGCUUAACCCUGGACGUGCAGGCGAUACGGGCUGACUUGAGUACUACAGGGGAGACUGGAAUUUCUGGUGUAGCGGUGGAAUGCACAGAUAUCAGGAAGAACACCGAUGGCGAAGGCAGGUCUCUGGGUAGUAACUGACGCUGAGGAGCGAAAGCAUGGGUAGCGAACAGG
Molecule: ribosomal RNA, 409 nt
Filed under: bacterium
Lineage: Bacteria
Description: partial 16S ribosomal RNA
Rfam family: Bacterial small subunit ribosomal RNA
Source: RNAcentral